CCACAUUCAUAACCAUUCAUUUAGGAGCAUAUGAUUCAUCUCGAUCAUAGCAUCCCAAUUAUUUGAUAUAGGAAACCAAUUCUACAAAUCAUGUCUUUGGAAGACAGUGUAGUGACAUUGGCGAAUCCCACAGAUCCUGUUUCCCUGAAGUUGCAGUGGAGCAGAUCAAAGACAACGAAUCUUGACUUCCUGAAGUUGCAAUGAAGCAGAUUUAAGUCACUAACCUAGCUCCCUAAAGUUGUAGUGGAGUAGGUUAAAAUUUUAGAUCUCGUUUCCCUGAAGUUGCAGUGGAGCAGAUCAAAGACGACGAAUCUUGACUUCCUGAAGUUGCAGUGAAGCAGAUUUAAGUCACUAAUCUAGCUCCCUAAAGUUGUAGUGGAGUAGGUCAAAAUUUUAGAUAUCGUUUCCCUGAAGUUGCAGUGGAGCAGAUUUAAGCCAUCACCCUAGCUCCCUAAAGUUGUAGUGGAGUAGGCUGAAAUUUUAGGUCUGGUUUCCCUAAAGUUGUAGUGGAGCAGAUCAAAGACGACGAAUCUUGACUUCCUGAAGUUGCAAUGAAGCAGAUUUAAGCCACUAACCUAGCUCCCUAAAGUUGUAGUGGAGUAGGUCAAAAUUUUAGAUCUCGUUUUCCUGAAGUUGCAGUGGAGCAGAUUUAAGCCAUCAGCCUAGCUCCCUAAAAUUGUAGUGGAGUAGGCUGAAGAAUGCAAGAUCUUAUCUCCCCGAAGUUGCGGUGGAGCAGAUCGAAGUCACAAUCCUUAUCUCUCUGAAGUUGCAGUAGAGCAGGAUAAGAACACACGAACCAUGUCUCCCUGAAGUUGCAGUGGAACAUAUUGAAGCUACUUGAAGAAAAGAAGCACCAAGAAGUCGAAGCUCAGCAGGCCCUGGCUAAAUUGGCCCAUUUAUAGUCUUUGCUCUAUCCUCGUUCCACGACAAUGAGCAAAGAGGGGCAGCUAUAGUGAGCCAAAUAUGCCCAGGCCCGUUACAAAUAAACCAUAAAACAUAAAAUGAAUAAAACCAUCACAGUCCAUUAAAUGUUUAAAGUCCAAUUACAUGACCCAAAUCUAAAACCUAAGCCUAAUACAACCCAAUAGCCCAAAAUUCCAACCCAUUUAUAAUAGCCCAAUCCUAAGCCCAACAACCUUGGCCCAAGAACACAAGCUAGGGCAGAACCCUAACGGCUUGAUUGCGCCGCAGCAAGCCCCAGUCUCUACGCCUCCGUACGGCGCUACCAAGCCCCCACGCCAACUACCUCCGUACCCUCCAGCAUAGCCCUAUACCCGAGCAGCACCUAUACCUGCAAACUCAAAAAGACAACAGACGCAAGAAAAUAAAGAAAUUUUUUGUAUAUUUUUAUUUCUUCUUCUCUCGGCUGUAAAAGCCUGGGAUUUUUUCGAUUGUAACCCUUCUUUUUUACGCACAUUUACACAUACAGAAGCAAUAGAAAACUAAAAAAAAGUAAGGUGAUUUCCUUCUUCGAACCUCUGAGAUUAUUACAUUUUUUUAUUUAUUUCCUUCGAUUUUCUUCUUUUUUUUAUAUUUUAAUAAAAAGAAAAAGGGAACAUGAGAACCUUACCUCGUUGCUGGGCCGUCGGUCCCCUUUCACUCCGUCUUAAUCGGAGUCGGAAGAGAGAUCUGUGGCUAAAGUCGGCCACACGCUUUGAAGCUCGGAGCACUGGUCACAGUGUUUUGCGGCGGACUGGUCUUUGAGGGAGAGAGUUGAAGUGCGGCUGAUAAAAGGGGUUAGGGUUUGGAGCUUUGAG
RNAcentral lists this long non-coding RNA (1757 nucleotides) under Gossypium barbadense (sea-island cotton). RNAcentral's name for it is "long non-coding RNA (GBAR_LNC009968)". The record is from RNAcentral. Lineage: Eukaryota; Viridiplantae; Streptophyta; Magnoliopsida; Malvales; Malvaceae.